AUGGGACUCUUUUGUUGGCGAUUCCAUGGGAGGUUCGAGACCUCUAACGUCUGGGUGGAGACUGGGAGCGCUGCUGACUCUUUCCAUGAUCUUCCUUCGAUGGAGGCUCCUUGACUUCCUCUUCUUUCUUUCUUCAGCCCCCACAGGCAUUGGAGGCUCAUUUUCAAAGACUUCAUCUACCUGGGCGUACUUCUCCAUCCUGGCCAACAUCUCCAUGAAGUCGUGGGGGUAGGUCUUCUCCAGUGAGUAUCAGAGACCAUUCUUCAAGAGUCCACCCUUUAGAAUGAUAAUCAUGAUUGACUGAUCCAGAUCGUGAACUUUCAAUACGACCAUAUUGAAACGACCAAGGUAUGAUCAGAGUGAUUCUCCUUCCUUCUGCUUGCUGUUAAUCAGUGUAUCCGAUCCUUUGCAUUGCCUUCUACUGUUGACAAAAUGAGUCACGAAUAAGUAACUCAUCUAGUCAAAUGAGUGAAUGGUCUUGGACUUCAAGCUUGGAUAUUAAUGUCAGGUCUCACCCUUUAGAGUGGAUGGGAGGGAAGGCUCAGCAUAGGGCAGCAUCGGUUGCUCUAUGGAAAAGCAU
RNAcentral lists this long non-coding RNA (580 nucleotides) under Elaeis guineensis (African oil palm). RNAcentral describes it as "long non-coding RNA (EGUI_LNC003065)". Lineage: Eukaryota; Viridiplantae; Streptophyta; Magnoliopsida; Arecales; Arecaceae. The record is from RNAcentral.